Long non-coding RNA from Metopolophium dirhodum (rose-grain aphid), 1961 nucleotides. RefSeq lists it as uncharacterized. The transcript has 5 exons. The record is from RefSeq and is a predicted model, not a curated record. NCBI's taxonomy places the organism in Eukaryota, Metazoa, Arthropoda, Insecta, Hemiptera, Aphididae.
AUUAUUAUUUUUUCGUUUGCCAACGUUUGAAGCACUCGCGAAUUGCGAUUAUUUGAAAUUUGAACAAAAAUACAGACCACAGUCGUACAGAGUUUUAAUAGUUCUAUUCAUACAUAUUAUUACAUAAUCGCCAUGCAUAAGUGUAUUGUUUUUAGUAGAACAUCGGAAGUAUCGCCUAGCCAAAUAAUGUUAGUAUUAAUUUAUUUCUAAAAAAUGAAAAUAGAAGGAAAUAAUGGCUUAACAUCUUUGAAUUAAAUGAUUAUUCCAAUUUCUAUCUGGCAUAGUAUCUGCGGAUUAUUUCACAAUAACUGAUUGUAAACAAUGCUCUCAUAACAUAAUCCAAACCAUUUGUCUGGUUAAAGAAGUAAAAUAAAUUUUAGUAAUUUAUAGCGACAUUGGUACUACUUUAAGAACGACCAAUAAAUCACAUUUAUGUAAAAUCAUUUAACAUAAUUCUUGAAUUAGGGAUUUAUAUAGUUUUAACAACUUAACAUUUUCAGAAAAUUGUGUUUUGAAUGAAGGUGUCGGUCGUGCUGCACAUACAAGUAACUUGGAAGUCGAUCAAAUAUCCUUACAAUUUUUCAGACAUUGACUUUCAUGAAGAUAAUUCAAUCGACUUAGAUGAAGCCAUACAAUAAUGGAGCAAAUUAUGAAACUUAAGAGUGAGAAUAUUGUUGAAUAUUGUGUUUUUCCGACGAUGAGUUAAAAGAAAAUGAACAGACGAAUAAAGGAUAUGGAGACCUUACAAUUGAUGAUUUUAAUUCACCCAGAAAAGCCUUAGAUACUUAAUAAUGUCUAAUUCACACACACUUAUAUUUUUUGACAAACCUUGCUUCACCUGUCAGAAUGGUUGGCAUGAGCUAUGAAAAGAUAUAUUAUACAGAAGAUGUGUCUGACAGGCUGUUAAAAAAAUUGGGGUGUCCUGCAUACAUAAAUGCAUACAUACAAAGAUUACUGGUCGUCAAACCCGUUCCCAUUCAUGGAAUUUACUUCUCAACAAGAAAAGACAAACUUCUUUGUAAGAAAGCUACGCGAACACCAAUUACCUUCAAUUGCACUCUGAAUCAUCUUUUUGAAUAAAACUAUUUGUGUAAGACUUAUUUAUAUUUAUAAGAAAACUUUAUUUUUAAAUUUUAUAGUUAGAGAAAAUAGUAUUUAAAAUCUUUUCUUUUUUUUUUUUUUAUUUGGGUUAAGGCUUCAACUACUCAGGUCAUUAGCCUGUGGUACUGUAAGGGGGGGGGGGGGUACUGUAGAUUUGUUUACUCGUGAUUUGUUUUGGCAGAAUUUUUAAUUUGGGCCCGGGUGGGGGAUGGCAGCACUUGUUCCCCGGACACUGUGACUUGCACGGAGAAAAAUGUCGCCCGGUGGUCGAGGAUCGAACUCGGACCGGCCGUGCCGAAACCGUCGCGUUAGACCGCUCGGCCCCUUUAAAAUCUUUAUUAGUUAUAAUAUCAUAGUUUUCAUAUUUGUCGUAUUUAUAGUUUAAUUGUAAUUUAAAAUUUAGAAAUAUAUGACUAAUGUGCUGUAAUUUAUUGUUAUAUUUGCAGCAGUUUUUUUCUACAUACUAAGUAAGAAGAAAUAAAUUACAAUAUAAUAUAAAAUGUAACUGUAUACAUAUAAAACAAUUAAAAAUUUUUGUUUUUUAUGUCUAUGGAUAUAACAAAACUUUAAACUAAAUCUUAUGACUAAUAUGUUAAUUUCAACUAUUUAACUUAAGUUUUAUGUUUUUUAUUUACAUUUUAUUAUGAUUAGAGCACAAACUUGUGUGCAUAUUUUUUCUGGGUGAUAGUAUGAUAUGCUAAGUGAGCACAGAAUUUGUUUCAUGACCAUAACAAUUUGAACUGUAAUACAUUUGGGCUGCAUAUUCCAACAACUAACUCAUUUUUUUGUAUUGUAAAUCCAUUUUUUAUUGCUUUCGUGCAAUUGUUUCAGUUGUGGAAUUUUAAUUUUGAAUAUGUUUA